RNAcentral lists this ribosomal RNA (502 nucleotides) under uncultured bacterium. RNAcentral's name for it is "bacterial SSU rRNA". It matches the Rfam family "Bacterial small subunit ribosomal RNA", at positions 18 to 518 of the family's 1533-position model. The record is from RNAcentral.
UCUGGCUCAGGAUGAACGCUGGCGGCGUGCCUAAUACAUGCAAGUCGAGCGAGAAUCAGUGAUGUAGAGAUUCGUCGAAGCGGAUCUGAGGAAAGCGGCGGACGGGUGAGUAACGCGUAGGCAACCUGCCCUUAGCAGAGGGAUAGCCAUUGGAAACGAUGAUUAAAACCUCAUAAUGCUGUUGAAACACAUGUUUCGACAGCCAAAGAUUUAUCGGCUAGGGAUGGGCCUGCGUCUGAUUAACUGGUUGGUGAGGUAACGGCUCACCAAGGUGACGAUCAGUAGCCGACCUGAGAGGGUGAUCGGCCACAUUGGAACUGAGACACGGUCCAAACUUCUACGGAAGGCAGCAGUAAGGAAUCUUGCACAAUGGGGGAAACCCUGAUGCCAGCAACGCCGCGUGAACGAUGAAGGCCUUAGGGUUGUAAAGUUCUGAUCUGUGGGAAGAAGAAGUGACGGUACCACAGGAGAAAGCCCCGGCUAAAUACGUGCCAGCCGCUGC